CAUUCGAGUGGCGGACGGGUGAGUAACGCGUGGGUAACCUGCCUUACACAGGGGGAUAACACCUGGAAACAGGUGCUAAUACCGCAUAAGCGCACAGGGCCGCAUGGCCCGGUGUGAAAAACUCCGGUGGUGUAAGAUGGACCCGCGUCUGAUUAGCUUGUUGGCGGGGUAGGGGCCCACCAAGGCGACGAUCAGUAGCCGGCCUGAGAGGGUGGACGGCCACACUGGGACUGAGACACGGCCCAAACUCCUACGGGAGGCAGCAG
Molecule: ribosomal RNA, 266 nt
Filed under: uncultured bacterium
Lineage: Bacteria
Description: partial 16S ribosomal RNA
Rfam family: Bacterial small subunit ribosomal RNA
Source: RNAcentral